UUUGUACCAAAAAUCAAGUGUAUUAAUAAAUAUUCCCUUUGUAUUACAUCUCCAUAGUGAUAUUGAUAGAUCAAAAUGGAGCAGAGAUUAACUUCAAGUCAAACAAACUGUUGAAGAAGAAAAGCACGCAUUUGCUGAUUAUGUAAAAGAUAGCCAUGAACAAGCACUGAUGCAAGUUAAGAAUUGGAACUUAUUGAAUAUGUUUGAAUGAAUAGUGGACUUGGUUUCUGACAGCCAGCACUCCAAGAUCAGCAUAGGCAGCGGGAAUACAGAACAACGUUCCUGAUCAAGAAGCAGGCAGAGAAGACAUGAAUAUUAUAAACCCCUUGAACUAACAAGAAUAUUCAAAUGAAAAAGUAGCCUUUUUCUGGCAGGGCAAACUAAAGACAUACUGAAUAAUUAAGGAACAAUCUGGAAUUUCUGUAGCUUGCACCAAAGUUAUGUUCCUGCACAUUUUAUGAAGAAGAUUUUAUUAUUAUGCCACAGGGUCAUGCAGCCUAGAAUGAAAUUAUCUGAUGCAACUUGUGCUGUUCUGGCAAUCAACUUGUUUGAUUUA
Long non-coding RNA from Crotalus tigris (Tiger rattlesnake), 556 nucleotides. RefSeq lists it as uncharacterized. The transcript has 3 exons. NCBI's taxonomy places the organism in Eukaryota, Metazoa, Chordata, Lepidosauria, Squamata, Viperidae. The record is from RefSeq and is a predicted model, not a curated record.